Molecule: ribosomal RNA, 521 nt
Filed under: uncultured Candidatus Poseidoniales archaeon
Lineage: Archaea; Methanobacteriati; Thermoplasmatota; Candidatus Poseidoniia; Candidatus Poseidoniales
Description: bacterial SSU rRNA
Rfam family: Archaeal small subunit ribosomal RNA
Source: RNAcentral
AGUAGUGCGAAGCCGACAGGUUAUCCGAAGUGGUUUCUGCUAAAGGAACCUUUUGUUAGUCCUAGAAACACUAACGAAUAAGGGGUGGGUAAGGACGGUGCCAGCCGCCGCGGUAAUACCGGCGCCUCAAGUGGUAGUCGAUUUUAUUGGGCCUAAAACGUCCGUAGCCUGUUUGGUACAUUCGUGGGUAAAUCAACCAGCUCAACUGGUUGAAUUCUGCGAGCACGGCCAGACUUGGGACCGGGAGAGGUGUGGGGUACGCUCAGGGUAGGGGUAAAAUCCUGUCAUCCUGAGCGGACCACCUGUUGCGAAGGCGCCGCACUAGAACGGAUCCGACGGUCAGGGACGAAGCCUAGGGGCACGAACCGGAUUAGAUACCCGGGUAGUCCUAGGUGUAAACGCUGUGGACUUGGUGUUGGGGAUUCUCCGAGGAUUCUCAGUGCCGAAGCGAAGGUGAUAAGUCCACUGCCUGGGGAGUACGGUCGCAAGGCUGAAACUUAAAGGAAUUGGCGGGGGAGCAC